RNAcentral lists this ribosomal RNA (491 nucleotides) under uncultured bacterium. Its description in RNAcentral is "partial 16S ribosomal RNA". It matches the Rfam family "Bacterial small subunit ribosomal RNA", at positions 8 to 526 of the family's 1533-position model. The record is from RNAcentral.
AGAGUUUGAUCAUGGCUCAGCCUGAACGCUGGCGGCGUGGCUAAGACAUGCAAGUCGUACGGACGUAGCAAUACGUCAGUGGCGGACGGGUGAGUAAUGUAUCGCUAACGUACCCCGGAAUCUGGGAUAGCCAGCCGAAAGGCUGGGUAAUACCAGAUGAGACCACGGCAGGGCAUCCUGCAGUGCUCAAAGGGAAACCGUUCCGGGAGCGGGCGAUAUCGUAUCAGCUAGUUGGUGAGGUAACGGCUCACCAAGGCGACGACGCGUAGCCGGGCUGAGAGGUCGGCCGGCCACAUUGGGACUGAGACACUGCCCAGACUCCUACGGGGGGCUGCAGUAACGAAUCUUCCGCAAUGCACGCAAGUGUGACGGAGCGACGCCGCGUGUGGGAUGAAGUUCUUCGGAAUGUAAACCACUGUCAGAGGAAAGAAAGUUCUGAUCUACCUCAGAGGAAGGGGCGGCUAACUCUGUGCCAGCCGCCGCGGUAAUAC